GCCGGAAUAGCUCAGUUGGGAGAGCGUUAGACUAAAGAUCUAAAGGCACCAGGUUCAAUGCCGGGUUCCGGCA
This is a non-coding RNA of Dreissena polymorpha, 73 nucleotides long. The record is from the annotation of a RefSeq genome assembly. Lineage: Eukaryota; Metazoa; Mollusca; Bivalvia; Myida; Dreissenidae.